This 418-nucleotide ribosomal RNA is filed under the name uncultured Dothideomycetes. RNAcentral describes it as "LSU rRNA". It matches the Rfam family "Eukaryotic large subunit ribosomal RNA", at positions 103 to 533 of the family's 3401-position model. The record is from RNAcentral. Lineage: Eukaryota; Fungi; Ascomycota; Dothideomycetes.
AACAGCUCAAAUUUGAAAUCUGGCGCAAGCCCGAGUUGUAAUUUGUAGAGGAUGCUUCUGGGCGGCGGCCGGUCUAAGUUCCUUGGAACAGGACGUCAUAGAGGGUGAGAAUCCCGUAUGCGACCGGUUGGCACCCGUCACGUAGCUCCUUCGACGAGUCGAGUUGUUUGGGAAUGCAGCUCUAAAUGGGAGGUAAAUGCCUUCUAAAGCUAAAUACCGGCCAGAGACCGAUAGCGCACAAGUAGAGUGAUCGAAAGAUGAAAAGCACUUUGGAAAGAGAGUUAAAAAGCACGUGAAAUUGUUGAAAGGGAAGCGCAUGCAACCAGACUUGUCGGCGGUGUUCCGCCGGUCUUCUGACCGGUCUACUCGCCGCCGACAGGCCAGCAUCAUCUGGGAGCGCCGGAUAAAGGUGUCGGGA